This is a long non-coding RNA of Carassius gibelio (silver crucian carp), 689 nucleotides long. RefSeq lists it as uncharacterized. The record is from RefSeq and is a predicted model, not a curated record. Lineage: Eukaryota; Metazoa; Chordata; Actinopteri; Cypriniformes; Cyprinidae. The transcript has 4 exons.
CAGCUUUACUCUGCAAAUAGCUCAACCUCUGAGGGGAGGAACUUCACCAUUCACCAUGUCUUCAGGCAGAGUCCAGCAAAGCAGCUUCCACUGGAAAUCCUCAGGGAAGUUAUUUUGUCGGCGGGUGACUCUGCAUAUUUGACACUUACUCUGGUUUGCAGAUGGUUUAGGGAUGUGCUCCGAAGUUUUUCGGAAAGCGGCACAGUUUGCCUGGCUAGACAUUGUGGCCAACUGGAAGAAUUGUCCUCCUGUCUCCUGACGGGAACGAGUUCAGACGGAUGUACAGCAUCAGGGAAUGCUUGCAGUGCAGAGCCCUUUUCAAGUUUAACCCACCAGGGUACAGGGAAGAGACCGGUGUGGUGAUCUUCUGGGCUUUUGUUUACACAGGAUUUUGUUCCAAGGACUGGUUUUUUUUUUUUUUUUUGCGGCAUGAAACACAUUUGUGUGUUAAGUUAAUUGAAGGGAAAUAGAGAAUGGACUGAGAUCAACUGGUUUUGAUGUAUUAAUUGAUGUCAUUUAAAGUUAAACUUUGCAAUGUAUAAUGUUUUAAUAAAAAAGCUAUGGAAAACACGUGCAUGACAACAGGUUUCAGUCAUUUACAUCAGUCUAUCAUUCUUUAAGGUUUCUCAUAUUUGAUGAUAACAUCAUUUGCUAUGCAUUGCUCAUAAUGGAUUCUUAAUUUAGUUGUG